UGCUCCUUCAUCACUUUUGCAAGUGUUCGG
This 30-nucleotide non-coding RNA is filed under the name Mus musculus (house mouse). Lineage: Eukaryota; Metazoa; Chordata; Mammalia; Rodentia; Muridae. The record is from RNAcentral.